CUAAAUUCAAAUCUGCUUCCCAAACUCUGUGGAGGGUUCUACAAUGUGGAAGCAUUCCAGUUCCCUCAGGCACAAGGGAGGAAACAGAUCCAGAGAUGUCAUGGACUUGCCCAAGGGUGGAUCCUUAGGGUGUUGACUGCUGCAGUUUCAAGCUUACAUCUGCACCCUGCAGAAUCCAGAGGAAGAGACAAUGCCUGUUCCAGUGGCUCUCAAGAAAUUCUUUUCCAGCCAGGCAUGGUGGCUCAUGCCUGUAAUCCCAGCACUUUGGUAGGCUAAGUACUGGACUGGUUCUGAUGCUUUCACCAGUAACAGAAGCUCAAGCUGUGCUCAACUGACCCCCAAGGAUCCAGCCUGUCUCUGGGAUUCUCUAGGCCGUCCCGGAACUCCUACCAUGACCAGGGAAGUGUAGGGUUGGGGUUUGGCCCUAGACCUCUUAUCUGUCCACCUGCAAAGCCGUUUUAGUAACAGAUUUGGAAGCAAAGUAAGGUUUUUGAUGGCAGCUUGGUCACCAGCACUUCACUUAGGAACCAGUGCUGGGGAAGCGGAUGGGACAAUUUCUGAGUGUCUCCUGGGACAGACACAUAGGCCAUCGCUCCGCUAGGGGCAUGGAGGGUAUGUGUGGGUCAAAUUGCUAAAUAAUCUCCAAAGCUCAUUACAAUUAAUGGGCCGACCUAUUCCCCAAUGCCUGCUUUACUGGAAUUGUUCGGCCCCAUCCUUCCCCCACAGUAGAGUGAGCCAAUUUAAAUUUUCAAUGCAGUUCUUCAGCACUUGUGUGAUGAUAAUCAGCUUACAGGUCAAGGACCUUGGCAAUUCACCAAGGAGAUUGUUACAUUUGAGCA
Molecule: long non-coding RNA, 839 nt
Filed under: Homo sapiens (human)
Lineage: Eukaryota; Metazoa; Chordata; Mammalia; Primates; Hominidae
Description: HSALNT0310563
Source: RNAcentral